GAUGAACGCUGGCGGCGUGCUUAACACAUGCAAGUCGAACGAUGAAGCCCAGCUUGCUGGGUGGAUUAGUGGCGAACGGGUGAGUAACACGUGAGUAACCUGCCCUUGACUCUGGGAUAAGCCUGGGAAACUGGGUCUAAUACUGGAUAUGACUUCUCAUCGCAUGGUGGGGGGUGGAAAGAUUUAUUGGUUUUGGGUGGACUCGCGGCCUAUCAGCUUGUUGGUGGGGUAAUGGCUCACCAAGGCGACGACGGGUAGCCGGCCUGAGAGGGUGACCGGCCACACUGGGACUGAGACACGGCCCAGACUCCUACGGGAGGCAGCAGUGGGGAAUAUUGCACAAUGGGCGCAAGCCUGAUGCAGCGACGCCGCGUGAGGGAUGACGGCCUUCGGGUUGUAAACCUCUUUCAGUAGGGAAGAAGCGAGAGUGACGGUACCUGCAGAAGAAGCGCCGGCUAACUACGUG
RNAcentral lists this ribosomal RNA (466 nucleotides) under uncultured bacterium. RNAcentral describes it as "partial 16S ribosomal RNA". It matches the Rfam family "Bacterial small subunit ribosomal RNA", at positions 28 to 507 of the family's 1533-position model. The record is from RNAcentral.